GGGGACUUAGCUCAGCUGGGAGAGCAACUGCCUUGCAAGCAGUAGGUCAGGGGUUCGACCCCCCUAGUUUCCACCA
RNAcentral lists this transfer RNA (76 nucleotides) under Pseudomonas sp. Leaf58. Its description in RNAcentral is "tRNA-Ala". It matches the Rfam family "tRNA". From Rfam's summary of the family: Transfer RNA (tRNA) molecules are approximately 80 nucleotides in length. The record is from RNAcentral. Lineage: Bacteria; Pseudomonadati; Pseudomonadota; Gammaproteobacteria; Pseudomonadales; Pseudomonadaceae.